AUUUUGUAUCCAUUUCUAAGGUGUGAUGAGGAUUCAGAUUCUGUUUGUGGAGCUCACGCAGCCAGUUCCAGCCCCAGAGAUGAUGAUAACAAAGAAAAUUAUCCAGACAACACAGCUAUCUUAGAAGAAAGGUGGCUGCCUUUGCAAGAUACUCAGCAGCAGAAGGAGCAGGCUUUGAAGCCUGACAUGGGCAACUUAAAGCUAAGAAAGCCUAAGCCUGUGUCAAAGUUAGAAAAUGGAAAAGGCCAUGAGGAAAGUCAGGAGCUGGAGAGUUCAUUGCCAGGACUCUCAGAGCGGCAAGGGAAGGCAGGAUCCUCAGCUAAUGACUGUGCAUGGAACGUGGAUUUUAGAUGCCAGGAAGCUGUUGUGAGAUUUCAGCCAAGGUAAGCUUUGGGAUAAGAGAAUGCAUUUCACUU
Meleagris gallopavo (turkey) is the source of this 416-nucleotide non-coding RNA. Lineage: Eukaryota; Metazoa; Chordata; Aves; Galliformes; Phasianidae. The record is from RefSeq and is a predicted model, not a curated record.